UACAGGGGGUGCAAACGUUGCUCGGAAUUAUUGGGCGUAAAGGGCGCGUAGGCGGCCAUUCAAGUGACGGGUGAAAGCCCUCGGCUUAACCGAGGAACUGCCUGUCAGACUGGAUGGCUUGAGACCGGGAGAGGUGAGUGGAAUUCCCAGUGUAGCGGUGAAAUGCGUAGAUAUUGGGAGGAACACCAGAGGCGAAGGCGGCGACCUGGACAGUCACUGACACUCAACUACGAAAGCGUGGGGAGCAAACAGG
This 253-nucleotide ribosomal RNA is filed under the name uncultured bacterium. Its description in RNAcentral is "partial 16S ribosomal RNA". It matches the Rfam family "Bacterial small subunit ribosomal RNA", at positions 524 to 776 of the family's 1533-position model. The record is from RNAcentral.